GUGCUAUGAAGAUAAUUGUGCAAAUGUGAAAACUUGGGUCUUCACCAUGUCUGAAAUACGUCGACAAAAAAUAGCACAUCUGAGCC
Small nucleolar RNA from Solanum pennellii, 86 nucleotides. RefSeq annotates it as small nucleolar RNA snoR114. The record is from RefSeq and is a predicted model, not a curated record. The transcript has a single exon. Lineage: Eukaryota; Viridiplantae; Streptophyta; Magnoliopsida; Solanales; Solanaceae.